UAAUCAUGGUUUUUAGGCAUUGAGAUAAACAUAAACAAGACAUGACGUAGUUUCACAUAACAUCACAAGACACAACAUAUUGAUGGUGAAGACAAAAUCAUAUUUGACAUGGUAAAAUCAUUCAUUUGCAAAUGGUAAACACAACAUGAAUCAAUUUAGGUCAAACAUGUAUCAGAUUAUAAUUCUUCACAAAAUAAACAUUAACCCUAAAUCAAAG
This 217-nucleotide long non-coding RNA is filed under the name Lathyrus oleraceus (garden pea). RNAcentral's name for it is "Pisum sativum (pea) long non-coding RNA (PSAT_LNC029246)". Lineage: Eukaryota; Viridiplantae; Streptophyta; Magnoliopsida; Fabales; Fabaceae. The record is from RNAcentral.